Lagopus leucura (white-tailed ptarmigan) is the source of this 1092-nucleotide long non-coding RNA. RefSeq lists it as uncharacterized. Lineage: Eukaryota; Metazoa; Chordata; Aves; Galliformes; Phasianidae. The transcript has 3 exons. The record is from RefSeq and is a predicted model, not a curated record.
UAUCUCACUAUUCAAGAAACAAUAAAAGUUGACAGAGGCACAUCAUGCAUGUACACUUCUAAAAACAAGAGUGAUAAAGAAUAGAUCUUCAGUAGAGUAUAAUUCACCAUUCAACUCAUUUCCUGAGCAGGCUUUCAAGGUGUUCCCAUGAGAAAUGAUUCAAGACAAGGAUGUCAAGAUGAGUGGUCAAUGAAGGAGGAGCAGUUUUAUCCAGUCCUUCCGAGAAAAGCUCUCUGAAACAAUAUUCUUCAACACCUGUUCCUGCACCAGUGCUUCGGUCUUCUACUUUAAUGUUGCUUCCAUCCUUGCAAGGGACAUUGUCAGAAGUCGCUGAAGAAACGACAUAGUGAUUAGGAGCUCUGCUUUGAUCUGAGUCGUCCUGGCUCACAAGGCUUUUGGCCACGUUGAGUUCAUCUUGUGCAGGUGGAUCCAGAAUGCACAAGGAAGACUUUGUCUCAUAAAUCACAUCAUACCUUCAGUGCUUGCUUUUAACUGGAACGUUGGAUCACCCAUUGCAAGUAAAGUCAUGGCAGCUUCAGUGCUUCCAUCACUAAUUCCUACAAAGUUGUUCAAACACAAGUUAAAAAUCACAAGUACACUUACAAAAAAAUUCAUUUACCCACACAUUCAAAAAGCAUUUGAUGUUAUCAUUCAUGCAGGGCAGAAUGUAUUUUUUAAAUUGUUGCCAUUCAUGAAUUAAGAUACUCAUGGACAGAUGGCAAUUCUUCUCCACUAAAUUCAGUAUUCCCUGAAUGAUACUCCCUGAAGGAAGUGCAGUCUGGAAGACAUAUGGUGGAGAAGGCUCAUUUUGAGGAGUUGGUUUGUGAACAAUUGUUUCUCAUAGGAAAGACCACGUACUAGACCAGUAGAAAAGCAUGAGAAGGAAGGUGUGGCAGUGGUCAAGUAGUAUGGACUGACUGCAGCUCCUUCUACCUCUGUUCCUGAUUAGCACAGAGCCAGGAGUGAAGGUAUCGAGUUGAGUGCGGGAAAGGCCAGGAUGGGAAGAGUGGUGGGGAAGAGAUGUUUUAGUCUUCUCCGCAUCUCACCACUCAACUCUGCUUUUAGUUAGCAAUAAAAUAAACUUUCACCAUG